UGGGGAAUAUUGCACAAUGGGGGGAACCCUGAUGCAGCGACGCCGCGUGAGUGAAGAAGUAUUUCGGUAUGUAAAGCUCUAUCAGCAGGGAAGAAAAUGACGGUACCUGACUAAGAAGCCCCGGCUAACUACGUGCCAGCAGCCGCGGUAAUACGUAGGGGGCAAGCGUUAUCCGGAUUUACUGGGUGUAAAGGGAGCGUAGACGGCGGUGCAAGUCUGGAGUGAAAGCCCGUGGCCCAACCGCGGGACUGCUUUGGAAACUGCAUGGCUAGAGUGCUGGAGAGGUAAGUGGAAUUCCUAGUGUAGCGGUGAAAUGCGUAGAUAUUAGGAGGAACACCAGUGGCGAAGGCGGCUUACUGGACAGUAACUGACGUUGAGGCUCGAAAGCGUGGGGAGCAAACAGG
RNAcentral lists this ribosomal RNA (404 nucleotides) under uncultured bacterium. RNAcentral's name for it is "bacterial SSU rRNA". It matches the Rfam family "Bacterial small subunit ribosomal RNA", at positions 355 to 776 of the family's 1533-position model. The record is from RNAcentral.